This 65-nucleotide transfer RNA is filed under the name Cotylurus marcogliesei. RNAcentral's name for it is "tRNA-His". The record is from RNAcentral. Lineage: Eukaryota; Metazoa; Platyhelminthes; Trematoda; Diplostomida; Strigeidae.
UCAAUUGUAGGUUAAGGACUUAAACUGCUAAUUUGUGGUGUUAGUGAUUUUUUUGAACGAUUGAA